GAGCUUAACUGGAGAAGUGGGAACUGCUAAUUACCCACGGCCACAGUUCAAUUCUGUGGUUUGCUCA
RNAcentral lists this transfer RNA (67 nucleotides) under Rana temporaria (common frog). RNAcentral describes it as "tRNA-Ser". Lineage: Eukaryota; Metazoa; Chordata; Amphibia; Anura; Ranidae. The record is from RNAcentral.